GUACGGUAAUAACGUCAAAGAUGUGACAAUGGACAAUCCGCAGCGAAGUCCUCUGGUCUAAUCGACCGUGGAACGCGUUCAGAGACUAGAUGUUUGUGGGCUGCUAACGCGGCUUAAGGUAUAGUCCGUCCUGCUCCGAAAGGGGUUUGGGUUUAUAAACGUAGAUGUUCUGGGCCGCACGCGCGCUACACUGACAGAGCCAGCGAGUCUAUCACCUUGGCCGGAAGGUCCGGGUAAUCUUGUGAAACU
Molecule: ribosomal RNA, 249 nt
Filed under: Sebacinales sp.
Lineage: Eukaryota; Fungi; Basidiomycota; Agaricomycetes; Sebacinales
Description: partial small subunit ribosomal RNA
Source: RNAcentral